This 253-nucleotide ribosomal RNA is filed under the name uncultured bacterium. Its description in RNAcentral is "partial 16S ribosomal RNA". It matches the Rfam family "Bacterial small subunit ribosomal RNA", at positions 524 to 776 of the family's 1533-position model. The record is from RNAcentral.
UACGUAGGGUCCGAGCGUUGUCCGGAAUUAUUGGGCGUAAAGAGCUCGUAGGCGGUUUGUCGCGUCUGCUGUGAAAACGCGAGGCUCAACCUCGCGCCUGCAGUCGAUACGGGCAGGCUAGAGUUCGGCAGGGGAGACUGGAAUUCCUGGUGUAGCGGUGAAAUGCGCAGAUAUCAGGAGGAACACCGGUGGCGAAGGCGGGUCUCUGGGCCGAUACUGACACUGAGGAGCGAAAGCGUGGGGAGCGAACAGG